CAUGCCAUGCAAAGUCUGCUAAACGAGUUAUCAUAACCGUUAUGUAGAAAUUCACAGCACAGAACGAUGGUAUUACCUCCGUAAAUGUGACAGAUAUGAAUAUGAGACUAAACACAAAACGCCUUGCAUUUGCAAUGUGCCUUAGCUUUCUUGUGGUGACCAUUGUGUUGAUGUACAACUGGAAACCAAGUCACCAUCACAAGAAUCCCUUCGAAAUAGACAUCUAUGACGACGGUGACUACGACGAAGAAGCGAAGGAUGAGAUUUUACGUCAGCAUCUGAUAGACUACCCUUUAUUCAAUGUGAAAGUACAGAAAGAAUUUGUGCGUCCACCUGUGUUAGUUCCACAGAUACUGGUGAGAAAAAUUGACCCUGUGGUUAUCACAUCAUCAAUGUCUGAUGCUGAAGUAGAAAAUAACUUCUUCAGGUACAUAGAGACAAAAGAUGUGAUCUGUAAGAACGACAAGAGGCUGGGAUUCCAACAUGAUGGAGGCUACAAUGUGUGCUUCGCUCCACCCUUUGGUCUCCGCAAACCUUGUAUUGUGUAUUCAUUUGGAAUUUAUGACGACUGGAAUUUUGAUGAUGCAGUGUCCAAGAUCUACAAGUGCAAUGUAUUUUCCUUUGAUCCUUCAAUUUCCAAACCAGACCAUAACCGGAGCUCAUUGAUAAAGUUCCAGAAAAUUGGCAUCGGAACCAAAAAUGAGGUCAACAGAAAGGGUUGGACUCUGAAAUCUCUCGGAUCUAUCUUACGUGACAAUAACCAUGAAAAGACAGUCAUUGAUUACCUCAAGUUUGACAUUGAGUUUAACGAGUGGGCUGUACUAGUCGCACUCCAGGAGGAAGGGGCUCUGUGGAAUGUCAAACAGAUUGGUUUUGAGAUCCACACACGGGAGUUGUUCCGCCAAAAAGAACAUCCGUAUCGGAAAACUAACAAAGAAGAUUACAUCCGGAUGUACAAGAUCCUCCGAACUUUAGACAGGAUGAACUUCAAGCAGUUUAAUUUUAGAAUGAACCCCUUUGGGAUGUUCAAGUCCAAGGUCACAAAUGUAUCAAGGUCAUGUUGUUAUGAUAUACAUUUUAUGAAUAUGAACUUUGUGAAAAAGAAUUAUACUAUUGUCGAGAGAUGAUAUUUUGACAUUGUAUAAUAAUGUGUUUUGAUAUUUCAUUCCAAAGAUAAUCAUGGCAUUUGUUUACUAGUUGGUUGUUAUCCAUAUAUUCUGUUGGAGCUGUGCUUUGUGGGUAUAUAUAUAUGUACCUCUCUGCUUGUGUAUUUCUGACUGGAAAUUGUAUCACCGUCAGGAGUAUAAUCAUGGUUGUGAAAUUUGUUUUACAAAUAUAUUUUGUUAAAGAUGUGAUUUAUUUUCUAGGUUAUUUAUAUUAGGGGAAAUAUUUUGCACUUGGUAUAAAUGGACAAUUUUUAUGCCUUGAAUGUUUAUAACAGAUGAUGAGAUUAGAUAAGAUGUGCUUCCACUCCUUGUGUAAGUGUCGUAAGUGAUAAGAUAAAUAGAUGUCUACAUUGAAGUGAUAUUCUACUGUGUAAGUCUAGCCCAGAGUAACUCAAUGUGUAAUUCUAGCCCACAGUAACUCAAUGUGUAAGUCUAGCCCAGAGUAACUCAAUGUGUAAGUCUAGCCCAGAGUAACUCAAUGUGUAAGUCUAGCCCAGAGUAACUCAAUGUGUAAGUCUAGCCCAGAGUAACUCAAUGUGUAAGUCUAGCCCAGAGUAACUCCUACCAUGCCUGGUUCAAUACCACACAAUACCACACAAUACCACACCGUACCACACAAUACCACACCGUACCACACAGUACCACACAGUACCACACAAUACCACACUGUACCACACAAUACCACACAGUACCACACAAUACCACACAGUACCACACAGUACCACACAAUACCACACAAUACCACACAGUACCACACAAUACCACACCGUACCACACAAUACCACACCGUACCACACAAUACCAUAUGUAUUCUGCAAAAAGCCUAGGACUACUUACACACCUAAACUUUGGCUAUCUCGAUCCAUUGUAAGAUUGUAGUAAGCCAGAGGUCCUGAGUUUGAUUCCAAGCAGAAGUGAUGAUUUAAAUUCAAUAAUCAUGCACUCUGUUACAUGUUUAUUACAGACAAGGACUAAUAACAAUAAGAAUGAUUAUAUAAUGAGAUUACUUCUACUUGAUCAGUUUUCAGUAACUAGUGGUUGUAUAGGCCUACAUAAAUUUACAUAACAAUAUCCGUAUUUAAAAGAAAAUCUUCACUAUGCCUUGUGGUAAUUGCCUGACCUUGAAAAUGAUCAACAUAGAAAAAAAAAUUGUUUGCUUGUGGUUGUUACUGUUAAAUGAAUGAGUUGUUUACUGAUGUGAACAGAUUUAUUUUUGUGUUGAUGGACGUAAUCGAUGAUUUGGUAAUGUUUUUACCAGCUAAACAAUGGAAUGUUCUUCAUAAGUUAGCCUGACAGAGUUACUUCCCUUCGACCUGAUGUACAAUAAAAUCUUAUGGUUCACAUAAUUAUGAUUUAAAUCAUACCAGAUACACUAAACAAUUUAUGUAGGUAAUUCAAAACUUACUCAGGUAAUUUAUGUUUUACCUGUUGAUAUUUUUAGCUCACAAUCAUCAUUAGCUCACAAUCAUCAUUAGCCCACAAUCCUCAUUAGCCCACAAUCCUCAUUAGCCCACAAUCCUCAUUAGCCCACAUCAGAUGAUGGACUAUUCAAAUCACCUUGGUGAUUAGUAAACAAUCCUUGUUAUUGCUAUUUCUCGAAAAGUACUGAAAGUAUAUUUCUCAAUCUUUACAUGUCUGCUCUCUUCGGUCCCUAAUUGUGCACAUGCAAUCUUGAGUCUGAUUUGGGAAAAUCUUAAAAUUGUUAUCUAUAUUUCUCAAAAUGGUCUUCUUGGAUAUUUCUUAGAUUUUUGAUUCAUAUGAAGGUUUUCCUUGUUAUCAGAUUAGUAAGAGGGAAAGAGAAAAGAGGGGAUAUUUAGAGAAAAGAUGAGUAAAAAUAAUUCAUUGUAGAUGCCAAAAUCCCUCCGGGAUCUCUUGUAUGUAAAGUAGUUUGACCAUUAUUGUAUCAUUCGUUAUAUAUUGGACCUUUGUUACGUUUUGUUAGUGUUUAUAUCUGUUUGUUAAGUUAAUGUUAAUAUGAUUAUGUAUAGCUACCUGAGGAUAAUAUAUACUUGAGAUGGCAUUGUUUUACACUUUGGAUUUCUAUAGCACGAGGGGAGAUAAUCUGGUGAGAACAUACUCCCAUUAAAUGGAAUAUUCUUCACUCAUAGCCAGUGUCCCCUAGUCAUACCCAUUACACAGCAAUAUGUCUCAGAAUGUAAGGAUCAAACACACAUUCAAGUCCGUGUUUUAUGUAUCUUUAUUAUUCUGAUUAAAUCCUAUUGUGCUAACCAGAAACUAAAAGGUUCAUCAUAUCAAUUAUUUUAUAUAACAAUAGACAUGUAUAUGUUUUAUGUGUAUAUUGUGUGGUGUGUCAAAAUGUAGAGUUGGAUUGAGUGGAAGAUGAUUGUAAUGGAGGUUGUUUAUAUUUGUCAAUUAUCAUCAAAAUGGUGCUACAAUCUUUUCUAACACUUGCUGACAGCAGUAUGAUGUAGUCAAGAUAGAAACAUGUUGGUUAGGUUGGUAUGUCGUUAGGUUGGUACGUUGUUAGGUUGGUAUGUCGUUAGGUUGGUAUGUCGUUAGGUUGGUACGUUGUUAGGUUGGUACGUCGUUGGGUUGGUACGUCGUUAGGUUGGUACGUCGUUAGGUUGGUACGUUGUUGGGUUGGUAUGUAAAGGUAGAAACAUGUUGGUUAGGUUGGUAUGUGGUUAGGUUGGUACGUCGUUAGGUUGGUAUGUCGUUAGGUUGGUAUGUUGUUAGGUUGGCACGCCGUUGGGUUGGCACGUCGUUAGGUUGGUACGUCGUUAGGUUGGUAUGUCGUUAGGUUGGUACAUCGUUAGGUUGGUACAUCUUUAGGUUGGUACGUCGUUAGGUUGGUACGUUGUUGGGUUGGUAUGUAAAGGUAGAAACAUGUUGGUUAGGUUUGUAUGUGGUUAGGUUGGUAUGUUGUUAGGUUGGUACGUCGUUAGGUUGGUACGUCAUUAGGUUGGUACGUCGUUAGGUUGGUAUGUGGUUAGGUUUGUAUGUGGUUAGGUUGGUACGUCGUUAGGUUGGUACGUCGUUAGGUUGGUAUGUGGUUAGGUUGGUACGUCGUUAGGUUGGUACGUCGUUAGGUUGGUACGUCGUUAGGUUGGUACGUCGUUAGGUUGGUACGUCGUUAGGUUGGUACGUCGUUAGGUUGGUACGUCGUUAGGUUGGUACAUCGUUAGGUUGGUAUGUCGUUAGGUUGGUACGUCGUUAGGUUGGUACGUCGUUAGGUUGGUACGUCGUUAGGUUGGUAUGUUGUUAGGUUGGUAUGUCGUUAGGUUGGUACGUCAUUAGGUUGGUACAUCGUUAGGUUGGUACAUCGUUAGGUUGGUACGUCGUUAGGUUGGUACAUCGUUAGGUUGGUACGUCGUUAGGUUGGUACGUCAUUAGGUUGGUAUGUUGUUAGGUUGGUAUGUUGUUAGG
Molecule: RNA transcript, 4553 nt
Organism: Pecten maximus
Lineage: Eukaryota; Metazoa; Mollusca; Bivalvia; Pectinida; Pectinidae
Exons: 7
Source: RefSeq, a predicted model, not a curated record